ACACUUAGAAAUAGGUGCUAAUACCGCAUAAGCGCACGGAACUGCAUGGUUCUGUGUGAAAAACUCCGGUGGUACAGGAUGGUCCCGCGUCUGAUUAGCCAGUUGGCAGGGUAACGGCCUACCAAAGCGACGAUCAGUAGCCGGCUUGAGAGAGUGAACGGCCACAUUGGGACUGAGACACGGCCCAAACUCCUACGGGAGGCAGCAUG
This 209-nucleotide ribosomal RNA is filed under the name uncultured bacterium. Its description in RNAcentral is "partial 16S ribosomal RNA". It matches the Rfam family "Bacterial small subunit ribosomal RNA", at positions 146 to 353 of the family's 1533-position model. The record is from RNAcentral.